UACAGAGGGUGCGAGCGUUAAUCGGAAUUACUGGGCGUAAAGCGCACGUAGGUGGCGACGUAAGUCGGGUGUGAAAGCCCCGGGCUCAACCUGGGAAUUGCAUUCGAGACUGCAUUGCUGGAGUACGGAAGAGGAAGGCGGAAUUCCCGGUGUAGCGGUGAAAUGCGUAGAUAUCGCUUGGAACGCCGACGGUGAAGACAGGCAACUGGACGUGCGCCGACGCUGAGACGCGAAAGCCAGGGGAGCGAACGGG
This 253-nucleotide ribosomal RNA is filed under the name uncultured bacterium. Its description in RNAcentral is "partial 16S ribosomal RNA". It matches the Rfam family "Bacterial small subunit ribosomal RNA", at positions 524 to 776 of the family's 1533-position model. The record is from RNAcentral.